UUGUGUACGAUAAACACGUAUGAAAAAAGUUCGCAUAAAACAUGCUUGCGUUAUAUAAUUAGUGAUUAAUUUGACCAACACCUUGUGCAUAUCUAGCCUACAGAUUCGACAUAUUGAUUUUACAUUAAAAACUGAGAAAACAACCGUCCCGAAGUCAAGGAAACGAUGACGCAUGUUCCUUCGAGUUUAUGGAAUGAGUGUUGAGAGACGGCGAGUGGAACUAGAGCUAUGUCAACUCGACACCGUAUCGGUAAUUUGAUCAAAUCAAAAAGCGAGAUUAAACAGUGAAGGAAUUUCUUCCGAAAACUUCCAUACGGUUGGGAUAUACCAUCCAGGGAUUGGUAACCCUGAUAUGAUCACUGUCAAUUCGGCGUUCUCGAUACGGUUGAGGCAUGGUGGGAAAUUGGAUUUAAGUUUGCCCUGACAGAGGCCCUGCAGCAAGUGACGCGGGAGUAUCAUCGUGAGAAAUUCUGGGAAAACGCAAUAAGAGACGAUCCAUUGGCAGAACUAUCAAAUUCUCAGGAAGCAGGUAGCAUCGGAGUUUGGGUAUCAAGUAUAAAAUUCGGUGUCAACGAAGCCGCGAAAGAUUUGAAUUUCAAUGACAAGUGCGAUUCAAGGUUUGCUUCGGAACUGUUACGUUAUACACAAUUAGCAUGUUUCAUUUGCUCAUAUGUAUUAAAUUGAAUAAAUUCCAUUUCAGUCGUCAACAUGAGCAGCAAAGUAGAGUUGUCUGA
Neodiprion fabricii is the source of this 734-nucleotide RNA transcript. RefSeq lists it as uncharacterized. The record is from RefSeq and is a predicted model, not a curated record. Lineage: Eukaryota; Metazoa; Arthropoda; Insecta; Hymenoptera; Diprionidae. The transcript has 3 exons.